Molecule: ribosomal RNA, 868 nt
Filed under: uncultured archaeon
Lineage: Archaea
Description: bacterial SSU rRNA
Rfam family: Archaeal small subunit ribosomal RNA
Source: RNAcentral
CUCCGGUUGAUCCUGCCGGACCCGACUGCUAUCAGAGUGGGACUAAGCCAUGCGAGUCAACAUAGCAAUAUGUGGCAUACGGCUCAGUAACACGUAGUCAACAUGCCCAGGGGACGUGGAUAACCUCGGGAAACUGAGGAUAAACCUCGAUAGGCCAUGAUUUCUGGAAUGAUUCUUGGCUCAAACCUAUAUGGCCCCUGGAUUGGACUGCGGCCGAUCAGGCUGUUGGUGAGGUAAUGGCCCACCAAACCUAUUACCGGUACGGGCUCUGAGAGGAGGAGCCCGGAGAUGGGCACUGAGACAAGGGCCCAGGCCCUAUGGGGCGCAGCAGGCGCGAAACCUCUGCAAUAGGCGAAAGCUUGACAGGGUUACUCUGAGUGAUUUCCGCUAAGGGAAUCUUUUGGCACCUCUAAAAAUGGUGCAGAAUAAGGGGUGGGCAAGUCUGGUGUCAGCCGCCGCGGUAAUACCAGCACCCCGAGUGGUCGGGACGAUUAUUGGGCCUAAAGCAUCCGUAGCCGGUCCUGCAAGUCUUCCGUUAAAUCCAGCUGCUCAACAGAUGGGCUGCGGGAGAUACUACAGGGCUAGGAGGCGGGAGAGGCAAGCGGUACUUUAUGGGUAGGGGUAAAAUCCGUUGAUCCAUUGAAGACCACCAGUGGCGAAGGCGGCUUGCCAGAACGCGCUCGACGGUGAGGGAUGAAAGCUGGGGGAGCAAACCGGAUUAGAUACCCGGGUAGUCCCAGCUGUAAACGAUGCAGACUCGGUGAUGGGUUGGCCUCGCGCCUGCCCAGUGCCGCAGGGAAGCCGUUAAGUCUGCCGCCUGGGGAGUACGGUCGCAAGACUGAAACUUAAAGGAAUUGGCGGGGGAGCA